Molecule: ribosomal RNA, 253 nt
Filed under: uncultured bacterium
Lineage: Bacteria
Description: partial 16S ribosomal RNA
Rfam family: Bacterial small subunit ribosomal RNA
Source: RNAcentral
UACAGGGGGGGCAAGCGUUGUCCGGAAUUACUGGGCGUACAGCGCGCGCAGGCGGUCCACUACGUGCCGUGUGACAGACGUCGGCUUAACCGACGUAGGCCAGGGUACACGGGUGAACUUGAGGCAGAGAGAGGGAUGUGGAAUACCCGGUGGAGCGGUGAAAUGCGUAGAUAUCUGGAGGAACACCGGUGGCGAAGGCGGCGUUCUGGACUGCAACUGACACUGAGGAACGAAAGCCAGGGGAGCAAACGGG